This 429-nucleotide ribosomal RNA is filed under the name Gloeochaete wittrockiana. RNAcentral's name for it is "partial Bacterial large subunit ribosomal RNA". It matches the Rfam family "Bacterial large subunit ribosomal RNA", at positions 2038 to 2466 of the family's 2925-position model. The record is from RNAcentral. Lineage: Eukaryota; Glaucocystophyceae; Gloeochaetales; Gloeochaetaceae.
GAAAUUGAAUUCUCCGUGAAGAUGCGGAGUACCCGCGGUUAGACGGAAAGACCCCGUGCACCUUUACUAUAGCUUUACAUUGGCAUUCGUAGUGGCAUGUGUAGGAUAGGUGGUAGGCUUUGAAGCCUGGGCGCCAGCUCAGGUGGAGCCACCCUUGAAAUACCACCCUUAUUACUAUGGAUGUCUAACCGCGGCCCGUUAUCCGGGUCCGGGACAAUGUAUGGUGGGUAGUUUGACUGGGGCGGUCGCCUCCUAAAGAGUAACGGAGGCGCGCGAUGGUGGGCUCAGAACGGUCGGAAAUCGUUCGCUGAGUGCAAUGGCAUAAGCCUGCCUGACUGCGAGACUGACGAGUCGAGCAGAGACGAAAGUCGGUCAUAGUGAUCCGGUGGUCCCGAGUGGAAGGGCCAUCGCUCAACGGAUAAAAGGUAC